Numida meleagris (helmeted guineafowl) is the source of this 4382-nucleotide long non-coding RNA. RefSeq lists it as uncharacterized. The transcript has 3 exons. The record is from RefSeq and is a predicted model, not a curated record. NCBI's taxonomy places the organism in Eukaryota, Metazoa, Chordata, Aves, Galliformes, Numididae.
AAACCCUGCUGGUUUUUCCCACUGAUAGAAAAAAAGUGAGUGUCUUCUCAUGUGCCUGCUGCUGAGAACAGAGGGGAAGGGGGAACCCCUCCUACCAGCAGCCAAAACCUCAUUUCUCCCUCUCUGGUAUGGCAGAAGGUGGACAGUCAUAGGCAGAAGCUCCAUGCUUCUCCCGCUCAUGCCCCAUGGCUCUCAGGUAGGUGAACAAAGUGGACACCUGAGGCCAGGGUCAGGGAAAGCAGUCAGGAACUUUUACGUCUUAUUUCAGGCAGUGGUUAGAGCUGGCCUGCUGAUCUGGGAGGUCCCUAAAUUCCUUCUGAGAUGGAAAAACAUGCUCGGCCUUUUUUGACUUACGUUGGCUAUACAUGGUGGACGGAUUUUCACAUAGCAAACAUCCGACUGCUGCCCGUGCUCCUGCAGAAACUAAGGUGGUGACAGCUGCCCUCCAGAGAAAUGGUAGCAUACUUCUACAAAAAUUGUAUUUAUAAUUCUGAAAGCUUUUCUCUUUCCUCAGGACUGACUCGGAAGUUAAAUUGAACCUGUGGUUGCAUAGAGUCCCCUGCACUUGACACAAGCCACUUAUUCGGCCUGAGAUACUGCUGCACUGGAUGACCUGUUUUGUUUUGCCUGCCACCAGCAUGGAAGGAGAGCUGUUAGUCUGUUAGCAGAUUGUCUGGGUUUUGCUGGGCACAGACAGCAUGGGCCUGGGCACAACAGAUGCUGGGCAUGAGAGCAGGAAUGGGACCAAGGCUGGGUAAAAAUGUGAAGGCAGGAUGGGAACUGGGCUUGUGUGAAACGGUUUGUUGUGGGUAGAUGAUCCAGCAUAAGGUGAGCCGAGACCAGGCCAAGCCACGGCCCUGCUGAAAGUGGCCUUUGUUACCUGGGAGCAGCAACCCUGAGUGCCCUUUUUUAUUUCCCUUCUUCCACAGAAUUACUUCAAACAAACAGAAGUGUACCGAAGCAGCCAUGCCUUUUGCACUGGGAGCUCUCACGUCCUCUGUAAGCAGGGAGGGGCAGCUCGUGUCUGGGCCUACAGGCAGGUUCUGGAUUUUUGUGGACUUUGUUGCUGCCUAGAUUGUGCAUCGUGAGCUGGGAAAGAAAUCUCCACAUCACUUGAAGCUGCCACUGCCUAUAAGGUAACUAGAGCUGACAGUGGGCUUGUACGAGCACAGAGCUGUAAAUCACUGAAAUGUAUUGCACAUAAUUUCCUGGUGCCUGCUCUCCUUGGGAGCGGAGCCCUGCUGGGAUGAAUGUCAUUACACCGUGGAGGCUCCUGGCUCUGAUCCUCCUUUUGUUUGUCGUGGAAAUGGGGCUCUCUUCAGCUGAGGUGAAGUGAAUGACCCAGGCUGCUCCAGGGACACCAGCCUCCUGACUUUACAGUCACCUCGUGCUUCUGCCAUCCCACAAAAUGUGCAGUAUUUUAUUGCAGGCUCUCACCAUGGAUCAGCAGAAGUGUGGCAACUUGCUACAGCAGAACAGUGACUCCCACACUUGCUGCGCCAUGCACUGCAACAUCACUCCUCUCAAUGCUCUCACAGUUCAUUCAUGUGAGAUCUUUCCUGUAAACUAACCUGCCAAAACGCAUCUUUGUUCUUCAAUUUCAUCACUUCUACAGUUUCCAGUCAUGUUUUCCCUGAGAAGUUGUCAAGAUAAAGGCACAGGCCCAUUCCUACAUGCUCUGAUCUUUGAGGAGCAUUAGCCAAGCAUCUUGCAUAAGCUACUUUCAUUCAUGAAGCAUGUGCACAUGAGGACCUGUGUCAAGUUGUCGCUACCCCAUGCCACGGCAGUCUGUCUCAGCUCCACCUCAGCGGGACCGCAGCUCAUAGCCCAGGAGGACCGGUAUUGGAAGAGCUGAUGAGCUGAAAGUCAAAUUGCUGGAACAAAAUCAUUUCAACUGGAAAAUCUAUUCAGCUGGAGCCAGGCUGCAGGAGAGGAUGGCGAUCUCAUUUUGCAUAAGACAGCAGCGAAUAAUCUGAUGAUUUUCUGUGACUAAUACAAUAGGUCGUAUAUGAAUGGUCGAUGGAGAGAUGAAAGGUUUCAUAUUCUAUUACCAAAUCCCUGAGCCAUCUGGUUCCUAAUGACUUCUUUCAAAACAAAGAGAAUAAAACUUCUGAGUUGUGCAACGCAUUUUGACAUCCUCUUUUAGACAGAAGAUGGCCAUUGCUUCACAUCGGCAAAGAAGAUCAGUGCUAUCAGUUAAAGAUCCAUCCAUCCCUUGCAGGUUUUUCUGACCACACACCUGGCAAAUAUCCCUUGCUCAAGCUGGUAUUACCCAUCACCAGGAACCAGAAAACAGGGAGCAGCACCUUUCCCACAGUGGGUGCUAGUUCCCAGGGUCAGCAUUUGGGCUCAGGGGAUGCGUGCAGCAUCUCCUUUGCUCUUGGGCUGGCUCUGCUGCAGCUUGGGACAUUUUGGGAAGGAAACCUCAGAAGUGAUCGUAGACAGCACACUCAACUGCCAAGGAGGGGUGCCCCAACCCUUGAUUGGGUAGAAUCACAGAAUCACAGAAUUAAUGGUUUGGGUUGGAAGGGACCUCCAAGCCCACCCAGCCCCAACUCUGCUGUGGGCAGGGCUGCCCCCCACCAGCUCAGGCUGCCCAGGGCCCCAUCCAACUUGACUCUGAAAAGCCAGAAGGCAAAGUGCAUACAGAAAAACCCAGAGGAAGAACACAUUUUGAAAGGAGGAGCUGCCUUUGCAUGCUGAGACCAGGCCUCCAGCACAGCCCAGGCAGGCCAGCUACGCUGCUUCCUUUUGCAUCCCUGAUCCCGAGUACAGUAUCCACACAGAGACAGCUGCUGCAGUGAGAGCCUGUGGUCACCAAAUCCCACACCAUGCUCACCAAACUGGUAAAGUGACCCAAGCUGGCUUGCUGAAAUGACAGCUCAGCUAAUAAAGUCUGUGGUCACGGUGCAACCUGCCUGAGGGAACCCCAGGCAAGAAGCUUAUCCACUGGUGCUUUCACUGUUGGGAUGCUUUCAGUGCUGUGGGGUUUGCUUGGUCCCUAGCACAGCCCUGAGCCCCUCUGGUUGGGCAGCGCUGGGCCGCAGCAAGGCAGCACAGAGGUGCCCACAUCUGCCCAGGCUCCCCAGAAUUUGAGUUAAAACCACACAGACAUGAAGGGGUAUAAAAUGGACAUAUUUAUUAUGCCCUAGUUAUAUAGUUUAGUCAAGCAUAUCAUAACACAACACUGUUUGUGCUAUCUGGGAUUACAUAUCCAAUAAGUACAGUAUAUUAUCAGCAUACUUUAGUGCUAUUAUGUAUAAUUAUAUAUGUUUAUAGAUUCCCCCAUUACACACCAGCUUAGCUCUUGUUACAUUUGUGAUACGCUGCUUGUUGCAUCACGUCAUAAAUGAUACGUUACCUGUAAUUAAGUACAUUUAUAGCUGUGUGCCAUAUUUAUUGCACUCCGCAGGAUUUGCAUCAUGCAUCAGAGUCAUCCUGUUGUUAGGUCAGCUCUUGUUUAUUUGCUUUCUUUCUUUUGAUUCUUUAAACAUCUGUCCUUUAAGUGCUGGGUGCACUCAAUUCAUCCAGUGGUUGGACCUGACUUACCCAACUGCUUAACUCAGUGGGUGAAAUCCUGACUCCCUAAGGCCCCAGCCAAGCACCCCCCCACUUCACUGCACCCUGACUUUCAGCACAUGCAGCUAUUGUUGCACAUCUACCCAAUUCAGCUUAUCCAGGAAGAGCUCUGUUCUUUGGUGUGUUCAGGGUUGCCAUCUAUGUGUACCCAGCCUUCAAGUGCAAGGCCAGUCAGGGGGUGGCAACACUACCUAAAAUCUAGCCUGCCAGCCAUAGCGCCUCUGCAAUUGCUGGCUCAAGGGUAAAGAUUCUUGGGUCUGCAAAUAGCAUCGAUCUGCCUUGCUCCUUUGGUCCUUUCCCUAAUGCCUAUUGAAUUGCUUCUCUCUGUGUAGUGCAUAAUUUAGGAUUGGUUGAGUACAGAGUAUUUUAUUUAUUUAUGUAUUCAAAUUUUUAAAAUGCAUCUCUAGGCAUCUUAGCAGUACACUGGGCGCCUACCACAUAAAUUAAAAAUAACAGCAUAAAGUUAGACAAAGGACCAUCCAUAAAUAACUCCUCCUCGACUCACACCCUCAGCAAUAGCCUCAGCUUGGGACAGGGAAAUAGAUGGGCUUUACAGCUCAUUGGGAAGGCUAAUAAAUCUGGAGGCUGAUGGACCAAAGGGGAAAAUGAGUUUCAAAACAGAGGUGCCCCUCUCCAUCCUUUUCCUGUAGACAACUUGCCUUGAACUUUUCCCCUACCAAGAGGAGGCACAGUCCUGCUGGCCAGCACAGGGCUGGGGACAGGGACUGGCAGGGUCAUGGAAUCACAGAUUCAUAGAAUCACAGAAUCGUUAAAGUUGGAAAAGCCCUCUAAGAUCAGCUAGU